AGUGAACGCUGGCGGUAGGCCUAACACAUGCAAGUCGAACGGCAGCACAGUAAGAGCUUGCUCUUACGGGUGGCGAGAGGCGGACGGGUGAGGAAUACAUCGGAAUCUACUUUUUCGUGGGGGAUCACGUAGGGAAACUUACGCUAAUACCGCAUACGCCCUACGGGUGAAAGCAGUGGAUCUUCUGACCUUGCGCGAUUGGAUGAGCCGAUGUCGGAUUUGCUGGUUGGCGGGGUAAUGGCCCACCAAGGCGACGAUCCGUAGCCGGUCGGAGAGGAUGGUCGGCCGCCCUGGAGCGGAGCCGGGGACCAGACGCCUACGGGAGGCACCAGUGGGGAAUAUUGGACAGUGGGCGCGAGCCUGAUCCAGCCAUACCGCGUGGGUGACGAAGGCCUUCGGGUUGUAAAGCCCUUUUGCUGGGAAAGAAAAGCAGCAGGUUAAGACCCCGCUGUUCUGACGGUACCGAAAGAAUAAGCACCGGCUAACUUCGUG
Molecule: ribosomal RNA, 492 nt
Filed under: uncultured bacterium
Lineage: Bacteria
Description: partial 16S ribosomal RNA
Rfam family: Bacterial small subunit ribosomal RNA
Source: RNAcentral